Long non-coding RNA from Notolabrus celidotus (New Zealand spotty), 1040 nucleotides. RefSeq lists it as uncharacterized. The record is from RefSeq and is a predicted model, not a curated record. NCBI's taxonomy places the organism in Eukaryota, Metazoa, Chordata, Actinopteri, Labriformes, Labridae. The transcript has 3 exons.
CUUUUUUCAAACAGUUAAAUUUGUCCUCUGUUCAUGAACGUUUCUUGUGUUCUUUUAUCACAGUCCACAGAGGGACCUUGGGAGAUGAAGGGGCUAUUAAGGAAAUAAAUAAAAGCCUGUACAGACACUUAGCUUGAUCAAGACCAAGCAUUAAAUAAUUACUGUAAUUCACUUAGGUUUCUUUUAAGCUGUGUAACGAUUUUCCCUGUUUCCCUCCUGCAUAAAAUUGAUCUGAUGAGGAGGACUAAACAAACGACCUCUAAAUUAAUUGGGAUUCUUUCCACCCUAAAGUAGUGCAUCUAUCUGUGCGGGAAUAGCAAAAAAGCUUUUAAAGAAGGAAAGAUAGGAAGGAGGAAAAAAAAAGGAAAGGCCUGUUCAUGCUUUGCAUCCUGUGCAGCAGAGAUGUAAUUGAAAAGAAGGUGACUGGUACAUCCACCAAGCGAAUUGGAAUAUCACGUAGUCCUCCUCUUCAAAGAACAGACACAAUGAGGUAAAAAGAAAGUGCAUGUUCGUGCGCACACAUUUGUCACCAGAGUCUGUGUGUGACAGGAUUGGUGGUGAGGUCAGCGGGCUGUAAAAUAGACCACAUGUGGGGAAGGGAUGAAAAGAAAUAAAGCAAAGAAAGAUAGUAUAGUAGAAAAAGAAAAAAAAGCGAAGGUGGACAUCACAGGACAUGACACAAAGUUAAUCUCGACAGCCGGGGCGAAAGCCGGUGUCCGGAGGCAGAGAGGAGCACAGCAAUCACAGCGGUGCUCUGUAGUGUUCUACGCAUCUCCUACUCCUGGUCGUGGAUCAAAGAACCCAUGCUCCCCCUUUGAAGUGGAAGGGCCGUCCGCUCAGGGAGGAAGGUGUUUGACUUGGGUCCAUGAAAAAGCCACAACAGCGUGCGCCUUAAUAACCUGCAGAGGAAGAAAACCCACGGAUGACAUUAACCCCGGACCAAGAGUGAUGUUCGUGACUAACGUAGAGACAACAUUGACAUGUAAUGAUCAUUAAACCAGCAAUGAUACAUUUGCAUAACUUAUAAUAAUAAAAUGAUU